Molecule: unclassified non-coding RNA, 433 nt
Filed under: soil metagenome
Description: partial contains 5.8S ribosomal RNA, internal transcribed spacer 2, and large subunit ribosomal RNA
Rfam family: 5.8S ribosomal RNA (bases 1-120)
Source: RNAcentral
GAUGAAGAACGUAGCGAAAUGCGAUACGUAAUGUGAAUUGCAGAAUUCAGUGAAUCAUCGAAUCUUUGAACGCAUAUUGCGCUCUCUGGUAUUCCGGAGAGCAUGCUUGUUUGAGUAUCAGUAAACACCUCAACUUCCAUAUCUUUUUUGAAAUGGGAGUUGAACUUGAGUGAUCCCAACGCUUUUCCUCACCGAAAAGUGGCGGGUUACUUGAAAUGCAGGUGCAGCUGGACUUUUCUCUGAGCUAUAAGCAUAUCUAUUUAGUCUGCCUAAAAAACAGAUUAUUACCUUUGCUGCAGCUAACAUAAAGGAGAUUAGUUCUUGUGCUGACUGAUGCAGGAUUCACAAAGACAGGCUUCGGCCGACUUUGUAAACUCGAUCUCAAAUCAAGUAAGACUACCCGCUGAACUUAAGCAUAUCAAUAAGCGGAGGA